GGCGACAGUGCUAAUCACCACACCACCGUGCCGCCCCUUAAAUCCAUCCAAUACAUUAUAUUAGUCACGGCUAGCCAUCCCCUGUAAUGUGAGGGCCCAGAAUGCAGAUACUGUAGGCACUAGAUACAGGAAUAGAUAGGUAGGAGGGUAGCCAGGAAUGAUGCAUCCAGUGGUGACAUUGGUAGUCCUCACUGCAGUAGAGGAGAGUCCAGAUAGGAGAGGAGGGUGCAGGCUGUAGGCUGAGGCUUAGAGUCCGCGGUGGGGCGAGCAGGCAGGCAGUGAAAUGGAAGGCAGUGAAGGAUCCAUACUUGUAGCUGGUUCCGGCAGCGGGAGCUAGACUAGAGAAGACAAAGGUGAAAUGUCAAACUCAGAAAACGGCUUCCCUCUGAAGCGAUGCGUGGGCGCCGUAUUACCGCUCAGGAAGCAAGAUAAUCUGGCGAAGACUGGAGCUCCUGCAGAUCCUUAAGAAGGGUGUUCAGACGAGGGUAGAUAAUUAACAGGUGUGAUGGCAGGAGUGAUCCAGCCUCUGCCCCAGGCUCCCAGGAAACCUGCCCCGCCCUCACCUAAGACUCAAAACAAACAGCAGCAGCCAAGCAUGAUCGUGACAAUAUUAAGAUGGGGCUAACAGAAGCUAGUGAUCUACAGGGGACACAUGUUUUCGGAGGUUUUGUAUGCUAAUUAUAUAAUCGCAGAGUGUCAAUAAAAUGUAUUUUAUACAGGUGAGGUUGAUCAUUAGAAGCUGAAAAAAUUGUUAUGAAUAAUAGUAAAAGUCAAAAACGCUGUCACAUCUGUCCUAUUCAUCGGACUUAUGAGAGGAGUUGGGGAUGUUUUCGCCAUUUUUGAGUUUCUCAAUUAGUACUCAUCUGUUCAGAAGUCAACUCAAACAAACAAAAAGUAUAUUUUUCUGUGUUUAUUGAGUGGGUCUGCAAUACUUGUGAAGUUUUACAUGCAGCAGUGUGUAGUAAACAUACGUUAUGAGAUGUGUGUGAUGACUAAACAGUACGGAGCAUACUUUGUUCUCAACAGAAGGAGCCAAGAUUUAGGUUUCCAAAACCCAAUUCUCAAAUCAUACACACAAACACACCAAUUGUGAUAUUGGUCUGUUGUGGCAGUUGGAUCCGGCUUAAGAUUUGUUUCCGGCAUUGUUGACGUUGGAGUACGAUAAGUCAGUACGGACGGCUCAGAGUGGGACGGCCCUCAACUUUUUGAUACCCUCAGUCUAAGGUUAACUCUCUCCUGCCACCGAAAGAAUUAAAUCCAGCACCACUGCUCCAAACCAAGAUGACAAACUUUGUACAAAGAUAUGAUAUCCACUCCUUCCAAUCUUACCUUUCACAAUAAAGCAUAUCAGUAAAAUAAACAUAUUGUACAAUCCGUAACAGCUACUCAAUAAAAAGGUUUAGAAGCAGGGAAUCAACUGUUUUGAAAUGGAAUGUUUCCAGCUGAAACUUUUGUAUUUUGGUUUUUAUUUAUUUUGGUUUGACCCACAACAUGAACGUCAGUCCUCUGAGUAACGGUUAUGUUUGUUUGAGUCAUCAACCAUUAUGCCACCCACCCUUUAAAAACCACCAAGUUGUCUAUUGAAGAGAACCCCAAAUGAAUUGGUUGGUUUAUUAAAUCAAAACUCAACAGACCGACCUUGUUACUUAAUUCAAGUUACAUACAUGUAUUCAAAUAAAAUAUGCUGACUUUUGGUGUCACAUGAUCUAUGAACAGCAUUAUCCUGGGUGAAUCUGCACUGAUAUUCUUAGCCACCCAUCCACCUCAACUCAUCCUCAUGUGGACGUAUGCCCAGUUUGAUGAAAAGUGUAUUGAUAAAGAGCAAAAACACUUUUAUUGAAUGGAAAUGUAGCCUAAUUUGAUGAGUGUGAGAAUAUUAGUAUGUUUGCAACUGUGUUAAAAGCUCCUUGUGUAGUUUGGGUCGUCAUGCCAAACAAUAACAGAUCCACUAGUUACAAGAAUCCUUGUGUUGCUCAAGUGGAGCUGCAGAGUCCGAUUGCAACCUGUAACAAUGAGGGGGGAACAAGACAGGUGAUUGCCAGCAGCUACUCAUCCAAAACCAAAAUGAACCGCAGUCUGGACUGACGCUCAUUUCAAAUUCAGCUAUUUGUAAAUGUGCCCUCAGCUGAUUUGCCUCCAACACACAUUGACCGUUUUUCUUCUUCUUCUUUUUCUCUUCGUUUACCGACACUGUGAAGCUCUAAGGAGGUAGUUGUCCUCAAAUUACAAGAAAUUGUUACUUUCUUUCCAAACAUUAACACAGUUUGCUUGUAAUUUCUGUUUGUUCAUGCCCACAAUGAGUGUGUGUUCUACCUGGUGUCUGCUUGGUCUAGUGUGUAAUAAGCAGGUAACAGGGAGGGCUUUUAUGAACACAAGGUGACUAGAGGGGAUAAUCCGAGCUUGUCUGUACAAACCGCAACCAUAUCCAAACUAUACCACAUUGCACAGAGACACACACCAACACACACCCAUGCAUAUACGGAGACACAGACACUUGAUUUCCUCCCUCUUCAGGAGUAUUAUAUAGUCCCAGCUUUGACAGACGGAGGGAGAGAGACAGUAAAUUAAGACAAUAGACAGAAAACCGGACAAGUUGAUGAAGUCAUUUGUAAAUGUAUAAUGGGAUGUACAGUGUGCGGCUGCGGCAUCAUAAGCACACUAUUCAAAACCAACCCACAACUUCUUAACCAUAACUCUAUAUCGGUUAAAGACUGUAUUGAUGAAGGUUUAUUUAACGAUUCACAGUUACCCCAGUGUGAGUAUCAUACUAUCAGUAUCAGUACAUCAAAACAAAACAGCAUGUUUUGUGCUUGCCAUAGUGUGGUUGACAAAACAUAAGAAUAAGAAUAAAAAACAAAUAAAUAUUGAAUGGAAAUAUUCAUACUUUUUCACACUUUGUGUUUUUUCAGUUCAUCAUCUAAUGUGUGUGGAGUUUUCUUUCUUUCCUUCUCAUUUUCAGUAUAAGAUAAGACAUAAGGACUGGCAAACACACAGUGACCCUCUCCUGGUGUCCCCAGAUAACCACGUGUCACAAAUAUACAGAAACAAUAACCACUUCAAACUUCCUGUGUUUGGUUGUGACAAAGUGAAGGAGGCCAGGAUCUGCUUGCAACUUCCCUGUGGUUUGGUGACUGCCGGCAGUGUCUCUGGAGGAGCAUUCCUCCACAUAUCCGCUGUAUUUUUGUAACAUGAUGAAAAACGUUGGCCUCGUAUUACAACAAAUCCUAUUGAUUGAAUAUUGCCUUAGUGAAGAAAUAUCUCUUCACUGUUAAAAAUAUUUUUCAAAGCAUCGUUAGAAGGAACAUUGGGUUUGGCAGUGGUAUGUAUUAUACAUCUGACAACCAUCAUCUCGUACAGACGGAUCAUUUCCAUUUCUAAUAGAUUAUAGUGUUGGAGGAAAUAAGAAGUGAAGUGUCUUCACCUGUAUAUGCUUUAAAAGAAACCGCUACAGUGGCAUUUUUGUGAGGAGGUUCAGGUCAUAUCACACCACGGAGGUUCCUUCAUCCUUCUUCUGACCUGAAUCCCUCUGUGAUCUCCGUAUGCCUUGGCAAACCCUCAAAGCUUCACCCUGGCACACAGCCGCUAUCUCCUCUAUUCCUGGGAUGAAAAGGAAAAAAAACAAAAAACUAGGCUAUUAGCUAGCGAGCAUCCUGGGAUGCUCUGGAAAUGCUCCUCCUCUCAUUUCUUGUCUUUGAAGUGCUGUAUUCCUGGCAGAAAAAUGCUAAAUGACAAUGGGAAAAUGCUGGUCAAUGGACUCAUUUAGCGAUUUAGAACAUCAACAGACACCAAGCUUCUUUACAUCUUAGGGAUCGAUCGCAGUAAUCAAAAAGGCUUUUCUCUGACAAAAUGUUCACUGCCUUUCCUAUGCUGUAGAAAACCAUGGUUAUUGUGUCUAAUGACACCGACACAGUUGUUGUAGCCGGGGAAUCAAAGUUUAGAGUCUGAUUACUGGAAUGUUACUUCCUUAAAUCCUGCGCCACGUCCUCAAAGCGCAGCUGUGAACGUACCCUCGCUGCCGCCAGCAGACUGGGAGGGCUAUCGGUGUUCUAACAGGUGCUAACUAGCUAGCUAAUGCUAACUAUUGUCUAAUUCGUGGUCUGAUGAGAAAUGCAUCAGUACUUCCAUGUAACGUAUUUACAUAAGACCCCCAAAAAAUUACAGCAGACAACGAAUAAAGAUGUAUCAUGACAUGGUUGAAUUAGAGUUGUCACCAAGGGACGCUUAUUGAUUCAAAACGGGACGCGCUAUUUUAUUCUCAAAUACGGGACGAUUCCGUAUUUUAAGGGACGGAUGGCAAACCUAGGUUGCGUCAGUAACUUGUGUCAGCUUUGUGACGACAUUAUGUUGUUAGCAUCAGUGGAUCUUGAAUUACUUGUUAGUUUGGCAAACUAGCUAGUUUUGUUAGGAUUGAGUUAGUACUAACUACUUGUGUUAAUACACCAUGCAGCUUAGUUCGACCGACACCUUUCAUCACAAUGAUGGAUUAAAGAAAAGAAUUUAGCAAAAAGUUACUUCUGAGAACUGAAUCCUUAGCUACUAAUUUGACAGACAUGCAGAGGUCCAAAAAGUUACUGGUUGAAGGUGUUUUGUCCAGAUUAAGUGAAAGGGAAAAUUCUUCUAUGGACAUAUACUUGCUCAGAUGGGCAUAACCUCUGAUGAUGCAGAGGCAUAAUAACCAGAUUUGUUAUUGUGAAGAAUAUUACCGUCACCUGUCCAUUUGGUAUAAGUCUGUUAUCUGUAUUUUCCAAGUACAAAUGCGAUGGGAAUAGUUGAUUUCUGUAAAACAAAUGCCUGCUAAAUGGUUAAAGUAAACUACACUAACAUGAGUCAGCUUUCCUGCUCCUUUAAAGAGCAUAUCAGUCUUACAUAAAACAUUUGAAACACUGCCACUUUUAAUUAUUUGACAACUUAGCUUAGACACAGCUAAAAUUUGGUCAACAGUAUUAUAACUGUAUGAUGGAGAGGUACAAAUGUGGGUGACAUGCCUCUUAGUUCAGAAAAGGGAGUUUGCAAGUAUGUUGAGGUAAGACUAGCAAAAUGAGAAUAAGGGUGGCUUGUGUUGUAGACUUGCGGGGGCAAGUGGUGCAAAAAUAACAAAACGUGAUCUGCCAGUCUUACAUAACUAGUUAUGGGUAAAGACCUCUUGGCAAGUGUUCAGUUUUUUAAGGCUGCCAUAAAUACGGCCAGUGUGUUUUGCCGCUAUUGAGUUUCCUCAUCAGAAGGAAGGAGAAAGGGAGAGUGAGGAUGAAGGAGCGAAAAAGAGGGAUCUCAUAUUUCACUCAGGUCCAUAUCCAUUACAGAGAAAAUUAAUAACUGCAUGGAGCAAGAGAACACCGCCCUCAAGUUUUCACUUGCUUUUCUGUCAGUCUGUCUUUGGGCUUGCUUAUAAAAACUAACGUUCAUACUUUAUGUGUAUGUUUGUAAAUGUGAAGCCUGGAUAUGUGUCUAGUCUCUGAAAUUUAAAUGAGGUCAUUUAUCAGCCCAAAUGUCUAAAAAGCUGUAUAUUGUGUGUAUGAAGGCUAUGAUCAGUUACAAGUGGAUUGACACACACCCUAACCUAAUAAAACACGCGCAUACAUUUUAUUGUAGGGAUCAGACUCUUACAGAUUGUUGUCAAGGACAGUAGCCGAGGCGAGACAGCAAUCCUCAGCGAUCCAUUUGGCACAAUGGCUGUAUUGUUACAAAAUAACAGCCAGUUAUCCAGCCAGAGAGCACCACAUGUCUGCAUGUAAUAAUAAUAAACUGUAUUCAAGUGGCACCUCUUUAAACACAGUAAAUACGUGCUUUAAUAAAAAACCCAAAAGAAGAGAAAAAACUAAAUGAGCCUAAUAACAAUAAAAAACUUUUUAAGAAGAAAAUAAUCUACAAACCAUUGUCUACCUAUUUUUAAAACCCACUGGACCUACUUCUGGUGCAUGCAUGCAAACUAGCCAAUAAACGCCGCUUCUUCUGUCAUUGUUUGCACAGACUGUGAAGAGCUGCAGGACCAGCGAGUUGCUAGCCUGUGAAGUCAUAUGGACAUUGAGAUUACAGGCCUCCAUUGGCUCACCAGUAGCUAGUAUCACACACAGUUUGAGUUGGGGAUUGGACCUCCCCACUCUUUAAGUCAUUGUGUGUUUGAUGAAGAAAAUAACAGAGGGAAUGCUGCUUUAUGUGAAACACAUAGAGAGGCAGGAUGUAAAAGAAACGCCAUCAGUGCCUUUCCCAUAUGGGCCAGAGUGUAUUCCAUUGGUCCUUAAUAAAUAUCUAAUGAUAAUUACUUAAGCUCUGAGACGAGAGUUCUUAUUUUGUUCACACUACCAGCUUAUUCGCCUUCUCUCACGUCUCGCUCAGCCCAAAUCCAUUGUGGUAAAAUGAAUAUUUGCUUAUUACACAAACCCACCCCGACACCCCCACCCUGCAACAAGACAUAUUUGUCCAUCACAAAUUGGCGCAUCACACAUAGCUUUCUCAGCGCUGCAUAUUUGUCUUAGCUUUCGCCUGGUUUGCAAGAAAAACAAAUAAGCCACUGCGGUUGAUCGGGCGACGCGAGAGAGAAUGCGGCUCCGGGAAUGUUCGAUGUGAUCCGAGCGGUUUGUUUUGGGUUGUGAGAUCGGAUCGGUUAAGUGAAAUGCUGGAAUUAAUGUUUGCUGGAGUGACCCGUCGGAUUGCUUAGCAAGCUUUUUUGGGUCCAUCCAAGUGAUCUUUUUCCAUGAGUUGACUCAAAAACUUUUUGGUUUGGUAUUACAUUUAAAAACAAACAAAAGUAACUAUGGCAAUUAUACAUUACAUGCACUGAAAUAUUACAGUGACAAAGCUGGUUAGUGCUGCUUCGCUUCAUGAGGCUGACGGGACUCAAAUAAGAAUAAGGGCUCGAGCUUCAGAAAUAAAAGGUGCGGCCGGAUGAGGUUGAGAACGGACCAUUUAGAUUCUCAAGGCAUUUGUUAACCGCCACCGCGUCAAAUCCAGUUAUUUUGAUCACAAAAUUCAGAAAUUUGUGCUUUUUCAGCAAGCAACAACAACAUCACCCCUGUUUAGUAAUAUUAUAAAGUGGUUGGAAAUAACUGUGGUUAUUGGUCAGUGUGGAGGAUCAAAAUGAAGAUGACACAUUUUCUGUCUGACAUUUGCUCAAUAAACAGUACAAACAAAACAUUGGACAACAAAAUACACAACGUAAACAAACUUUUUUGGUCUUUGCAAAUGAAGUUGACGAGACACAAAUUAACUUUGGCUUGUGUUUCAAUGCCACAUACAAUACCCUUUUCUUAUUUUUUUUCUUUUCUUAGUAUUGUCUGUCAUUAAGUACUGUCAUGGGUAGUCCCACUUGUAUGAAGCAGUAAUUCAUUCGUGACCACUACACUGAACCAUUAACUGCAACGACAGUAAAGUACCCUACAGGACCGUUUUGAAGGGACCUUAACUUUCCUAACUUUAACAAAACUGUUCUGUUAAAGUUCGGAAGGAAAACCUUCUAGUCUAGAAAGACACAACGAUGAUUGAUUGAGACUUCCCUCGCCUCAAUCCCCGACCGUCAAUGAGGUCGCCACUGGUCCAGAUCACCACCACAAUCCCUACUCCGUUCCAGCAGUAAUCUUUGAGAAAAUACCCAGCAUCCUGCAUACAUACUGCUCGCUGUGUCAUACUUUUUCCGGCCGAGGAUUCAAACUGGCAACCUACUAGUCACACAAGUCUCUCUCCACGUCUCCAAUAUGCCAUUGCCUCAUAUUUUCAUUUGGUGGGUGACAGUCCACCAACGCUGUGUCGCAAGGAGCCUGGAAUACUAACGUAUCAUUACAGGCCCAUCGGGAGGGACUUGAAAAGAUGAAUGAUUGUUUCAGUCAAUGUAAGGAGUUACGGCUGCUGCCGUUGUCGUGGUAACAAGCUACAGUUGAGCGUAGGUGGGCAAACAGUAUGGUUAGUGUUUUGGAUAUGUGCAACACGGAUCACUCAGGACGUCUGUCUGUGUUUUCAUGCAUUUGUUAUUCCAUUUGUAUGUGUUGUGUGCAUGCACACAUUAGUAGGAUGACUUAGUGUGUUUGUACUUAUACAUUAGUUUGUGUGCAAGUGGGGAAUGUGUCCAUUCCUAUAAUUUGUUUUUGCAUGCAAUAUAACUGUUCUGAAUGUUGUGUUGGCCCUUCGACCAUGCUGUCCAGGAGAACAAAGGAUAGGACAGGAACAUGCAUGUUGGACAAGGAGAGCCCAUAGUCUCAGACCUACCCUGGGCACCAGGCCCCUCUGGAGAACAAAGGGGGGAGGUGGGAAAAUGGAGAGAGCUCUCACAGGACAGGCACUGCGUCACGUGACCAAGCCCCGAGUUUCAUUUCUGCAAACACACAAGAACAACUUCAUCUUUCACGCUGACUUUGGUAGCCAAUAGAUGGGGCUCUGCAACAUUGAUGCUUUCAGCAAAUUCCAAAUGUUUUGGUCCUGAAAAAAGAUUUUUUUUAAAUGUGUGUUUUGUUUCCUUUCAUUUUGUCAUGUUUUGAAUUCCAAAGGAGAUAACAGACCCAGCAGGUCCCUUUUUUGUCAACAAGAUGACAUGAGGACGACACAUCCCCCUUUGUACUCCGCUAAGGAACUCAGUUUUAAUCCUGCAAUUUAAAACAGCUGAUCGCCGAAUCUGUUUGAAAUAAUGACUGCACAAACCGAAAAGUAUGAGGCAGAUUAGAGUCAGUGUGUUUAUAUAAACUUUUAUGAUUUGUGCUCUACGCCGACAGUCACAUCUCAUUAGAGAGAGAGUGCGUGAGAGAGUGACAAUUCUCCUACAUUUUUUUUUUAUUUCCUAUUUUUGGCCAUAAUGUAUGUUAACCAACAACUCGUAACCACAUACAUAGUCAAACCAUACUGAUGCAUAUCAACUACAGGCGUCUAACACACCCCCUUUGAGGUCUCCCUCUGGUCAGCUGUUAUGUAAAAGAAGUCCCCCUCUCUUUUCCUCGUAGCUCGCAGACACUACUAGGAUCGCUUCUCUCUGCUAACAGUUGUUACUACCACGAUUGUUAAUGAAGUCUCUCUAUGUGUUUGAAUUAAUUGUUGCUACAACCGUCCUUCUUGCUACAGUCACCCAUCUUUACUGUUUGACAGUGGGAAGUACAACCAUUGUCAUUCGUGUCUCCCUCUGCUGGUAAUAGUCGUUACUACAGUUGUCCCUCUUUAUUAUUUUACCUGGCAGUUCUUGUCUCUUACCCCUUCCUCUUUCAAUUACAUGCACGCACCCACCCACACACACACAAACUUAGAUUGUUUUUUUAGAUUGUGGGUUUAUAAUCCUGCUGUUUAUAGAUAUAUUCAAUAUUUCUUUAAUUCUAUAAACUGUUAUACUUUAAAGAACAUUGUUUCCUUCUGCAUUUGUAUGGUGCUGAUAGCUGAAUGAGUGAAUAUCAAUUAUGACACUUGAUAUAUAGGUUUGUUAUUAGCGCCGUUAUUUUUAUUUUUUGUAAAUUAUCUUUGUGAUUAUUAAUAAUUCUAUUGAUGUCAAUAAUUUAGCUUCACACCAGCUAUUAACCAAAUAAGCCCCUUUCCGAGCCCAACAAGGGUGUGUGGGUGGGUGUUUUCACCUUGCCUUUUCUCUCCUUUCACACAACAAUGUCUAUGGAAUCUCAUUCAUGCCAAAAGAAACUACAGCAAAGGAAGUUUUCACAUUGUGCACAGUAAGAUUUCUCAGAACAAAUACAAAAAAUAUGAAAACUUGCAAUACAAGUUGCACUUAUUCUUCUGCUAUCGUAUCGCAGACACAGCUAUUUGUGCUGAAUAUCCAGAUCUGUCUAGGAGUCUGUCCAGGGGCCAAUGAAGUACCGAAACAUGUGUUAGGGCCGGUAUCCUGUCAAUAAUAUCAGCUUGUAAAUGCAGAGCUAUUAAGCAUUAAACGUCUCCUUGGAUGCACCAUGCAAGAGCGCAGCUCACCAUUGCAUUGAAUGGUACAGUGAAAAAGAGCUAAAGGAGUUACUGUGAUGGAUGACUUAGGAAGCAAGAGUGAAUCUCUUUAUACUAAAACCAUGUAGCCAAACUGCAGAUACACUCCUCACUCAGUGGAAUCUUUGGGGGCAAGAGAAUUCAUUCCUAUUUGUUAUUGUAACAAAUCCUUGACAAAAAUUGAAAUGAAAUUAUUAUUAAGAAAAUUGUUUCUUUAUUUUCUUUUUUGGGUCAAAAUACAUUCAUUAAACUUGUAAAACACCAUUAGAGCUUUUUGCCUCAUACGGGUCUAUUACACUGAACAUUAAACACUUUUUGAAAUGUGCAUCCAUCCGUAAUAAGAUGUGUAGCCAAACUGUCAAGCUCACACAUAAAACAAAACUGCAAUUCCUUUUACCUUUUCAAAAUAAAAGUCUUAUUCCCUGACUGAAAAGUAUAUGGGGUUAUUUACAGUUAUACUGUUAAAAAAUAAAAAAGUUUUAGUAAUAUAAACGGAAGUGAAGCAACUACAACAGAUGGAGGCUCAGGUGAAUAUUGUCAUACCAUUGCUCAUGGAGAGAAAUGUCAGAACAUCAUCAUGUUGUGUCUGCAGGUUACUUUGACCGUGCAUACUUAGACACUGGUGACAUACAAUAGUAAAGGGCUCCUAAAGUGAUUUAAAGAUAGACAGAUAGAUUGAAAGACAGAUAUUUCUGUAGCGUGUUCAACAAGCUUAUCAGUGUAUCUAUCAGAGUGUCUAUUCUAUCAAGUAUCUAUUUGCUAAAUAUAUUUUUGUUGUUAUAAUAAAACAGCAAUAAUUGGCAAGGACAGCAAAGAGUCGUGAUCUAGACGAGUGCUUUGCUCUCAGUGAGGGAGGGACAAGCAGUCUAGCAGAUGCAGAGCGGAGAGUGCGGGUUAGGAUGUAUGGUUUCACCAUGUCCUGGAUGUAAGCUGGACCCGAUCCAUUCACAGCAUGGUACGUGAGCACCAAUGUUUAGAACUGGAUGCGGCAGCCACUGGUAGCCAGUGAAGAGAGCGGAGGAGUGGAGUAGUGGGGGAGAAGUUCGGAAGGUUAAAGACCAGUCGAGCUGCUGCAUUCUGGAUGAGCUGCAGAGGUUGAAUGGCGGUAGCAGGGAGACCUGCCAGGGGGGAGUUGCAGUAGUCCAGGCGUGAGAUGACAAGAGCCUGAAUCAGUACCUGCGCUGCCUUCUGAGUGAGAAGGGGACGUAUUCUCCUCAUGUUGUAGAGCGUGUAUUGUAGGUUAUUAAAAACUCAAUCCUCCUCCUUUGGAUUAUGUAAUCAAUAAAGAAAUGAGAACGAUGUAAUGUCAAUGUAUAACUGUAAUUCUGAGACAAAUCAAUUGAGUCACUAAGCUAAAAUAUCAUUGUAUUAAAUGUAAUGUGCAUACAAGAAAAUGUAAUAAAACCAUUUACAUUGCCAGAGACACAAAAAAAAAAACAGGUUACACUGAACGCGACAUUCAGUGUAAUACCACAUUGCACCACUUCAAAUAACUAGUCAACAUUGAACGCAUCAUUACAUUACAUUACAUUUUAUCCAAAGCGACGUACAAUAAGUGCAUUCAACCAUAGGGUACAAACUCAGGAGAACAAGAAACAAGAAAAUGCAAUUUCCUCAAAGUGCUACAAUUUGUUAGUCUUUAGUCGAGGUAGAGUCUGAAGAGGUGUGUCUUUAGUUUGCGGCGGAAGAUGUGAAGGCUCUCUGCGGUCCUGGUGUCUUCAGAGAGCUCGUUCCACCAUUUCGGCGCAAGGACAGCAAAGAGUCGUGAUCUAGUCGAGUGUUUUGCUCUCGACUAGAUCUCGACUCUUUCGAUCUAACUUUUUCGAUCUGCGGUAUCCUUUGUUCGUCCGGAGUUUUCUUCAUUUUUGAACACAACAGUAUCUACAGGAUUGUGUUGUCGUGUUGUAUGGCACACAAAAAGAAACCUUUGAAUCUUGAAAAUUGCCUAGAAAAUAGCACUAACAGCAGAUAAACACAGAGAUACCAGGCUCAAUUCUCAUAGCUGUGUUGGACAGUAAACAUCAAAAGUUUUUCUUUGAUAGUAAAGCUGAACUACUAGAGAGGAAGAGGCUUUAGCACAGGCCUCACGGCAUGUGGUGAAAUCCUCUGCUUGACACUGAGAUCUGAUAUCUCAAGAUUCAGUAAAUCAACCCCUCUUUUAAUUUUCAGGGCCUAUUGGAUCGGACUAGCAUGACGUGGUUAAGAGCGCCAGCUCCCUCAGCCACUGAGAAUCCACGACGAGCAUUUACAGCGUAAAACAAGGCUCAACAGUGACGUUUGCUUUAAAAACAUCCCCCUUAUCCCUCUAAGAAGCUCUGUGAGUUUUGUCAAACGUUGUAAUUGUUGCCAGUCUCCAAUGUUCUGAACGUUGUGAAGCAUUAUCAUGUUUGUUCGUGAGUACAGAAUUGUUGUGUUGGAACUGUACCAACAUGGGAGAUGCUCGACUCAUGGCAUUCAUGGCAAAAAAUGGAAUAGAGGAAAAAAUGUAUUACUUUCUCUUUGGGGAUUAAGAGUCUCCAUGAAAAAAAAAAACAUUGUGCCAAAAAUCCAAACUUGGGCCCAAGUUGAAGUGAAGUAGAAUUCCUUAUUUGUUGUUGGAAAUAUCCCUAAUAGGCUUUGAGCUCACAAGAACGCCCCAAGAACUGGCAAAUGAGCUGGAAAGGUUUGAGCUUGUUGUUUGAUGGUAGACGUAUGUACUUUUCAAUAGUUUUGUUGGCAUAAUGUGAAAACGAUGUUACUUUAUGCCGUUACAGAGAUGUGAUCACACCAGACAAAGAAAGAAAAUAAGAAGAGGUAAACACAUACAUUUUGUAAUUGAGGAUUGAAAACAGCAAAUGCAGUGACAUGAAAGGAGGGAAGUAAAUCACAAAAAAAUGGCAAUAAAAAAAACAGAUGAUGAAAACCAUGUUUGACACAUCUCUCAGGCUCUAUCUUGCUCUUUCUACUCUUUCCCUCUGGUUGCUCCCUCUCUCGGUUCGGUUCCACCAUAAACAGCGCUAAUGCUACCAGAGUAGCCCCUAAGCUUGUCUGCAGGGUCUGUUCCCAUGACAACAGUACCAAACACAGCACUGACAAAACCGCUAAUACAUAGCAGAGGAGGCUUCUCGCCCGACAGCUGAGAAGAGAGAGAAAAGAGAAACGCUCUUGCUUGCUUUGUGCGAUUUUGUGUGUGAAGGAACACGUGCAUUUGACAUAGGCACAUGCACACGAGUUGUGUGUGUUCACAGAACGUUUUAAAACUUCUGUUGUAUACACUGUUUCCAUCUGUUUGUGUGUGUGUGUGUAUGUGUCCAUCCAUAUGGUUCCAUUUAACCCUUUUCUUUAAUGUGACACUGGUUAACCUGUGAGCCGCUGCAGUGAGACUCCAGUUCACACCGCGUUUCCUGUUCGCUCAGCUGCAUGUGGAUGUAAAUGGACUCUCUCACACACACACACACACACACACACACACACACACACACACACACACACACACACACACACACACACACACACACACACGCAGACAUUAAUCAGUGUUAUUACCCUUGACUUAACUGCAUCUGGAAAUUAAAAUCCAAACCCAUGUGUCCACACAUACAAAUCUAAGACAGCCAAGCCAAGUCAGCAACUCGUAUUAGUUGACCGCUAAAGAUAUAUUGUUACAUUGUGUUACAUUUUCAUAUCAGUCAUCAGACAUGGAUGAUAAAUAACUUUGAUUUGUGUUUUUUGUGGGGGGGUUUUGUAUUUUUGAAAAUUCAUUAAAAAAAAACACCUCAACCCUACCAGUUAUUGGUGAUUUGAAUUAUGUGCUAUAAGUCACCAUAGAAGCCUGCCGCCCCACCGAUACGAACAUACCGUACAGUAACAAGCAGAAGCACAUUUAAACUUAUUUUAGUAUUUUGUGUUAUUGCAUUUUCAAAAUACGAGUAAACACAACGCUACAGGAGCAGCACCUGAAAUCUCUCACAAAACAUGUGAAAAAGCCAUUCUCUGCUGCGUCUUGUUAUUCUGCUCUUCUGCAUUUCUUUUCUUCAUCACGUCACACCUCAGGCUGUUAGGAAGAGGCCUGGAGUCUGAGCUGUCAUCGAGGCAAACCGAGAGCACCUUUUUAAUUGAAGGCCUGUCAGGUUUUCACCCAAGCCCGUCGUCCCGCCAUCGCUCCUCCAGCCCCUCCUCCUCCUCCUCCUCCUCCUCCUCUGUCCACUGUAUCAAUCUUCUGGGCCUUUCUUGGAAGGGGCUGGCAGCAAAGUAUUUCCAUAGCUGGCUCUCUGGGGCAAUCUGUAACCAUAUCCGUUGUUGCAUCAUUGGACUGAUGUCAUGGUUGUUGUUGUUGUUGGUCCCCGAAGUCAAGUUCAAAUAGUCAGCCUCUGUUGGCAUUUAACCAAGAUUCAUGGGAGUUUUUAGUCAGAGAGGUUUUGAUCAACUUGUCGCUGACACUAUGAGGCAAAUAAAAAAUACAAUAAAAAAGUCAGUAGAUACAGUAGGUUGUGCUGCAGAAACUCCCAGUUAUGGAUGUCUAAAAUGAUAAGCCAUCUCUGUGUACAUGGAGGUUUUUCAUUUGUUCUUUCUUUGACUUAGAGUCACAGUUAAUUUAAAGAAAGAAGAAAAAGCCAGAUUCAGAUGUUCCUGGAGCCAGUUUGAUGAUUUAAACUUUACAAUCAAAUUUCUUUCCAGCCCGAUGGAAUCUCUUCAAAGAGCAGGCUAUAAUCAACUAAGUGAAAGUCCCCAGCGUUUCUGGCCGCCCCCCCGUCCAACAUAAAGAGUUUGUUUAGUGGCCGUUGCAGCAUCGCUUGCAUCACUUCUCAUUGAUCACAGUUUAAACAGACUUGGAGACGGAGACGGACAGGGUCACAGCUCGUAAAGACAAACUUUUUUGGUCUGUUUGGCUCGGCAGUUAUUUCCACUGAGAUGGCCCGAUGCUUUACUGGGGAUAUUAAUUGGCGCAAUUUAGAUGGAGAAACAAAGAGGGGAAAGGAGGCUGGAUAUAAGAGAGACAAGGGAGUUCACCAAGUGUACCAAAUCUAAAGGAAAUCCAUGUAAUUAUUGAGAUAUUUCAUCCAAAACCACAGAUGUCAACCACAUGGUCAUAAGAAAAGGGGAAGUAAGGAUUCAACUCUGGAGACCAUGAACCUGUACUACAUUUAAUCAAAAUGGUGGACGGAUGGACAUUGGCAUCCAUAGAAGCCCUCCUCUUGCAUAGAUGAAGACAGAAUUAAAAGAAUGAAUAGGUCGUAGAGAAAAAUCCAAAGACAGUGGAUGCACUUAUACACUUUCUCUAUGCGUGUUAUUGUCAGCAUCUGGUGUGUUUAUCACUCUGUAAUAUGAAGGGCAUUCCGAGGGCGAGCUGUAAUCCGCUGUAUUGUUCAGAGAAGCUCAAAGCGUGGGACCACACCAUUAUUUGAAAUGGAUGCAUACAAAGACACAGACACUGAUCUGCUUUAGGUCUGUCCAGACCAGAUAUGAAGACACAACAACACGACUUGAAAACUAAUGUAAUGGUUUGAAUCCCAGACCAAAUGGGUACUUUGGAGUGAGAUGACCCCAUGAUUUCUGCUUGUUUUUUUUUGUUUAUUCUUACUUGGUCAAUCCUUGUAAUGUUAACAUAACACUCAACUGUACCAGCAUCAAUGUUUCAUAAUUUCUCCCUUGGCCCGGUCAACUGGCCCCAAAGCAGUGAAGAUGUUCUGAGAUCACCUGGCAAGAUUAAUUGAAGUUAGUCUUACCAUUAAGUGAGACGUUGUGGCAGUAAAAGUCCAGCGGCUUAAAAAAAGAUAAUGGAUUUGGAAAUAACUGCCACCACCUCUGAAUUUCACAUUUUGAUUGAUUGGUCCUUCCUAAACGUCAAAUACGAAAAAAGAUCUCAAAACAGAAACUGCAUUUGAAGAAGCAAAUCUUUUGACACCCCAAAUAACUUACACCAGCUAUUAUUCAAGUGCAUUUCUUAUUGACGUCAGGCAUAAAUCUGUAUUAUCUGUAUUAAGUAUUUUGGCGGCUCGUCUUC
This is a long non-coding RNA of Gasterosteus aculeatus aculeatus (three-spined stickleback), 15874 nucleotides long. Lineage: Eukaryota; Metazoa; Chordata; Actinopteri; Perciformes; Gasterosteidae. The record is from Ensembl.